GCGGGAAUAGCUCAGUUGGUAGAGCACGACCUUGCCAGGUCGGGUCGCGAGUUCGAGUCUCGUUUCCCGCU
Molecule: transfer RNA, 71 nt
Filed under: Pseudomonas morbosilactucae
Lineage: Bacteria; Pseudomonadati; Pseudomonadota; Gammaproteobacteria; Pseudomonadales; Pseudomonadaceae
Description: tRNA-OTHER
Rfam family: tRNA
About the family: Transfer RNA (tRNA) molecules are approximately 80 nucleotides in length. Their secondary structure includes four short double-helical elements and three loops (D, anti-codon, and T loops).
Source: RNAcentral